AACGCACCUUGCACCCUUUGGUAUUCCGAAGGGUAUGCCUGUUUGAGUGUCUUGAACAUUUCACAACGAACGAUUUGUUCUUCGGAACGAGUCGUUGGAUGUGGUUUUGAGCGAUGUUGCCAAAGUUGCCGUUGUCGCUGGACAAUGGCAUGGAUUGGCUCGCUUCAAAUAAAUUAGCUAGCGCUUCCUCGGCGACGACAGCAUGCGUGAUAAUUUCUUCUCGAAUGUUUGGCGUCGGACGAGGGCAUGGACUUGUGCCAUGUACGAAUAGCUUCUGAAAGAACAAAAUGGGAUUGGGUAACACCGAUCCCCCAACUUCUUAGACCUCAAAUCAGGUAGGACUACCCGCUGAACUUAA
RNAcentral lists this unclassified non-coding RNA (358 nucleotides) under uncultured fungus. Its description in RNAcentral is "partial contains 5.8S ribosomal RNA, internal transcribed spacer 2, and large subunit ribosomal RNA". The stretch from base 1 to 52 matches the Rfam family "5.8S ribosomal RNA", at positions 103 to 154 of the family's 154-position model. The record is from RNAcentral. Lineage: Eukaryota; Fungi.